CAGGGUAAUGAAAAGAUAUAUAAAAUAUAAUUGAUAAUUUGAAGAUAUUCCACAAAAUUCCAGUUGUGAAACGCAAAAUUCCAUUUCUCCUUUAUAGCUUUCAUAUCACAUCUACAUCUCAUCGUCUUUUAGACUUUGGUUAACUUAGUUCUUAUUCUAAAUCUUUUGCAGGAAGAAGGUUUGGGAUGUUUGUCAAGCAUUCAAGAAGAAAAUCACCGGUCAAACCAAGAGCAUUGAAGUGUGGAAUUCAAGCUACGACGAACCAAGUGGCAUUAGAUCAGUGGUUGAUCCACUCAAUACUUUUUCAGUUCAGGCAACUCCGAAAUUUUUACCUCCGACUUAUUUGUGUAAGCAAGACACGGAGGCUGAAAGUAGUGGGGAAUCUAAAGUGGCUGACUCUAAAUUGCUCUGGCUUCGCCCGGCUGAAAGGUUAGACUUUGUCCACACCCAUCAGUUCGUACAACUUCCUCAGCUAGAGAGCCCAUCCCUGCCAGCAGCAACAACGAGAAAGUGACUGACAGGAGAACCCUCGACAAGUUUGUUGCUUCUCAGUUGAGCCAUGAAGACAGAUACCAUGGUGAAGUAUCUUUGCAACGUAUCUAUUGAUUUUGUGUAUGUUUAUCUCCUUUCAAUAUUUGAGGCGGUUAGUAGUUGGGGAAGACGAAGAACACAAAAACGAGAAGAGCAGAGUAAUCUGCGGGGAAAGAUGGCAAUUUUUCUUUUGACUAACUUUGAAAUACUGUUGUGUUGAAAUAAAACGUGGAUGACUGUUAAUGGUUAACAGGAUUACGUAAUCAUUGAUUAAAGUGAUUAAAUUGAGAAAAAGGAAUUGUAAA
Long non-coding RNA from Gossypium arboreum, 836 nucleotides. RefSeq lists it as uncharacterized. The transcript has 2 exons. NCBI's taxonomy places the organism in Eukaryota, Viridiplantae, Streptophyta, Magnoliopsida, Malvales, Malvaceae. The record is from RefSeq and is a predicted model, not a curated record.